GAACUCACACAACACACACAACACACAACACACACAACACAACAACAAUUACACACCAACACCACACCACAUACCUACAAUACCAACAAACACCACACCACCAAAACACAUCAAAGACAACACAAACAGCCAACAUCAUACGCAAUAGGGGGAAACCAAAAAACAAAUUAUUUUCAGAACACAAAACACACGCUAAAAGCCACAAAGCCACACACAGGAGACAUCAGACGCCGCUCUCACAGGCAAAUACACCACCAACGGACUGAGAACGCCCCAGCACCCUCAGACCACAGCCAAGGGGCACCUUCCCAAUGGGGCCAACCCAUAUCCACCCCCCCACACGUGUAUGAAGAAGGCUUUCAGAAGAAAAGACUUUUGUUAAGGAAGAAAAGGGAAGUGCUAAUCCACUAUUUGAUGACGGUACCAAAAGAAUAAGCACAGGCUCACUACGUGCCAGCAGCCGCGGUAAUACGUAGGGUGCGAGCGUUAAUCGGAAUAACAGGGCGUAAAGCGAGCGCAGACGGUUAUUUAAGCAGGAUGAGAAAUCCCCGGGCUUAACCUGGGAACUGCGUUCUGAACGGAUAGCUAGAGUGUGUCAGAGGGGGGUAGAAUUCCACGUGUAGCAGUGAAAUGCGUAGAGAUGUGGAGGAAUACCGAUGGCGAAGGCAGCCCCCUGGGAUAACACUGACGUUCAUGCUCGAAAGCGUGGGUAGCAAACAGG
Molecule: ribosomal RNA, 721 nt
Filed under: uncultured Fusobacterium sp.
Lineage: Bacteria; Fusobacteriati; Fusobacteriota; Fusobacteriia; Fusobacteriales; Fusobacteriaceae
Description: bacterial SSU rRNA
Rfam family: Bacterial small subunit ribosomal RNA (bases 251-721)
Source: RNAcentral